RNAcentral lists this ribosomal RNA (612 nucleotides) under Triticum aestivum (bread wheat). RNAcentral describes it as "partial small subunit ribosomal RNA". Lineage: Eukaryota; Viridiplantae; Streptophyta; Magnoliopsida; Poales; Poaceae. The record is from RNAcentral.
AUGUGGCGCAGAUUGGUUCCUAGGGUAGAUGCGGGUGAUAUUUUGGGUGGCGGAAUCGAUGUUGUGGAGUCUGUGGUUGCUUCAAUCAAUGAAGCUCGCGGGCGAUCCUCUCAUCUGAUUUUUUCCGAAUCCAUCGAUGGCGGUAGCGGCAAGGAGCAGCUCCGAGGGGUGGACGGGAGUGAGGUCUUUGGUGACUCUAACGAUAUGGCGGCUCAGAAUACGGCCAUUGCAUCCAUGGGAGAGGAGGGGGAUGCAGAGGGUGUGGUCGUCAACAACUCAAAAGGCUCCUGGACUCGACGUGUUAGGAUUGGCAACGCGUCUGAAGAGAGGGAUGCCAACCCAAGCAGAGUCCCUGCCCUUGAGGCUUCAAUGCGAGCUUGUGCAGACACCAAGACCAGCACUGUUGUUAAUCCGGCGCUCGGAACUAGCUUUGACACAGUUGAAGAAGCAUAUGAGUUUUACAACCUAUACUCCUGGGAGACUGGCUUUGGCGUCAGGUAUGCCAAAAGCAGGCUGAAUGUCCAUAAAAAAUGCAUCCAAGAGUUUGUGUGCGCAUGUGCGGGCAGGCCAUUGCAGUCAAACAGUCGACAAGGUGUGGAUGUGCUGCGUUGA